RNAcentral lists this long non-coding RNA (493 nucleotides) under Carica papaya (papaya). RNAcentral describes it as "long non-coding RNA (CPAP_LNC006307)". Lineage: Eukaryota; Viridiplantae; Streptophyta; Magnoliopsida; Brassicales; Caricaceae. The record is from RNAcentral.
GGUUUUGGAAGUGUAUACGCCAAAUCCUUCAAGAAACCAAGCUGCCUCCCUGCAUAUAUAGUUGCAUGGACAUAAUAUUAUAUAUAUAUAUAUAUAUAGAUGUUGCUUCAAGUUAAAGUCACCUCUAAUCUCAUAUAUAUACAUAUAUAUAUCUAUAUAUAUAUGUUUGUGCGUAUAUACAUACAUAAGCAUUUGAGUACAGUCUGAAGCUUUUCCCAAAUUAACCAUAAGAUCAAACCAAGAACAAAUUAAAAUUGGGAAGUUGAGGGAAAGGAAACUAAAGUUAUUUGGGCUUUUAUUUUUCUGUAAAAGGCAAUAUAUAUACACACAUAUAUAUAUAUAUAUAUUGCAGAUUUAGAAAACAAAAUUGUAAAACUAUUGUUGAAUAUCUUAUAUCUAUAUAUAUGUGUGUGUAAAAUUAGAAAGCAAUAGCACCACAGUGAGUCAUAUAAUCAAACACUGUUAUAUAACUAUUAAUUAUAUAUACAUGUCA